This 287-nucleotide long non-coding RNA is filed under the name Gossypium barbadense (sea-island cotton). Its description in RNAcentral is "long non-coding RNA (GBAR_LNC008744)". Lineage: Eukaryota; Viridiplantae; Streptophyta; Magnoliopsida; Malvales; Malvaceae. The record is from RNAcentral.
AAAACUCUGUUGUUGGCCUAGUGAAGGUAUGGAUUGCAACGGUGAUGACUGAGAUUGAGAGGCUGAAGCAUACUGUGACAUGGCAGACACUGGACUAGGAAUCUGCUGAUGAUCAACCAGUUGCUGGUGCUGCUGGGACAUUGAAUGCUGUGGCUGCUGUUGCUGUUGGUCGUUAAACAAAGGCUGCUGCUGGUGUUGCUGUUGGUUAUUAAAUGAAUUCUGGUGCUGCAAUUGUUGCUGAAGUAGAUGUGGCUGAGACUGAUGCUGGUUGUCUUCAACACCCUGAA